AACGAACGCUGGCGGCGCGCCUAAUACAUGCAAGUCGAGCGAGAAGACGUAGCAAUACGUUUGUAAAGCGGCGAACGGGUGAGGAAUACAUGGGUAACCUACCCUCGAGUGGGGAAUAACUAGCCGAAAGGUUAGCUAAUACCGCGUACGCUCCUCGGACUUCGGUUCAGGGAGGAAAGCGAUACCGUGGGUAUCGCGCUCUUGGAUGGGCUCAUGUCCUAUCAGCUUGUUGGUGAGGUAACGGCUCACCAAGGCUUCGACGGGUAGCUGGUCUGAGAGGACGAUCAGCCACACUGGCACUGCGACACGGGCCAGACUCCUACGGGAGGCAGCAGUAAGGAAUAUUGCGCAAUGGGCGAAAGCCUGACGCAGCGACGCCGCGUGGGGGAUGAAGGUCUUC
Molecule: ribosomal RNA, 400 nt
Filed under: uncultured bacterium
Lineage: Bacteria
Description: bacterial SSU rRNA
Rfam family: Bacterial small subunit ribosomal RNA
Source: RNAcentral